This 217-nucleotide unclassified non-coding RNA is filed under the name Hevea brasiliensis (rubber tree). The record is from RNAcentral. Lineage: Eukaryota; Viridiplantae; Streptophyta; Magnoliopsida; Malpighiales; Euphorbiaceae.
AUGAUUUUAACCUAUUCUUUCUUUUCUAUUUGUAAUUUUUUUAAAAGAGCAUAAUAAUGUGAUAGAAGAUUCCUUACGAAGUAGCUUGGGUAUUAAUUGCUGGCCAAUUUCUUGGAAAUGCAAGAAUUUAAAUUUUACAUUGGUUUGCUGUUUCGUUUCGAAUACCCAUUUGUGGGAAUUCUCAGUUUUGAUUUCUGGGUGUUCAGUUUUGUGUGGA